This 414-nucleotide ribosomal RNA is filed under the name uncultured microorganism. RNAcentral describes it as "bacterial SSU rRNA". It matches the Rfam family "Archaeal small subunit ribosomal RNA", at positions 459 to 872 of the family's 1478-position model. The record is from RNAcentral.
CAGCCGCCGCGGUAAUACCGGCGGCCCGAGUGGCGGUCACUAUUAUUGGGCUUAAAGCGUCCGUAGCCGGGUUGGGAAGUCCUCCGGGAAAUCUGGCCGCUUAACGGUCAGAAUGCCGGAGGAUACUCCCAGCCUAGGGAGCGGGAGAGGCCGAGGGGAUUCCCGGGGUAGGGGGGAAAUCCUAUAAUCCCGGGAGGACCACCUGUGGCGAAGGCGCUCGGCUGGAACGCGUCCGACGGUGAGGGACGAAGGCCAGGGGAGCAAACCGGAUUAGAUACCCGGGUAGUCCUGGCGGUAAACGAUGCGGACUUUGUGUCGGACAAGCUAUGAGCUUGUCCGGUGCCGGAGGGAAACCGUUAAGUCCGCCGCCUGGGGAGUACGGCCGCAAGGCUGAAACUUAAAGGAAUUGGCGGG